This 255-nucleotide ribosomal RNA is filed under the name uncultured bacterium. RNAcentral's name for it is "partial 16S ribosomal RNA". It matches the Rfam family "Bacterial small subunit ribosomal RNA", at positions 524 to 776 of the family's 1533-position model. The record is from RNAcentral.
GCCGUAGGUGGCGAACGUUAUCCGGAAUUAUUGGGCGUAAAGGAUGCGUAGAUGGUGUAGUAAGUUAUCGGUGGUAAAUCGAGGCUCAACCUCGUGGAAGUCGGUAAUACUGCUAUGCUAGAGGAUAGAAGAGGUUAACGGAACUCCCUGUGGAGCGGUGAAAUGCGUAGAUAUAGGGAAGAACACCAAUCAGGCGAAGGCAGUUAACUAUUCUACUCCUGACAUUGAGGCAUGAAAGCGUGGGGAGCAAAACGG